UUUAGUUAGUUUGGGAAGGGGUUCUCUGGUUAAAUGUUAAUAAAAAUAAAUCAAAACCCAAAAUUAUAAGGAGAACCGGCUCUCUGUCGUCUCUCUCGACGUUUUACCAAAUCGAAGACCCAAUUCUAUCUGUUUUGUCCCCAAUCCAAUCUCCCACCAAACCAUCGCUUCGUUCUCUAGAAUUUCAAUUGGGUUCUUCUUCCACCGCCGAUCCAAUUAUCCCACCGCCGACUGAAAUCGUCAUCGUUAUCAGUGGUCCGAGCGGAGUUUGCAUAGACGCAGUGAUCAACAAGCUUCGUCAAGUUCGUGAAGAGCUAAAGACGAGCGUUGUUGAUGUUGAGUUGAUUCUGGAAUGCAAUUACAACGUUUGAGUGGCUCACAAUGCUUGACAUUGCAAAGGCUUAUCUAAGAGAUGGUUCUAAGGGAAAGGCGAGAGAGAUGCUUCGUAAAACAGAUGAAUUGAAUGAUCCAAAGUCUUACGAGAGACUCAUAAAGCUAUAUGGUGAAGCAGGGAGAGAGAUGAUGUUUACCAUAUAUGGGACUUGUACAAGAACACAAAAGAGAAGAACCAUGUAUUGUUUUGCAAAAUUUGAAUUUUUUUCUAAA
Arabidopsis lyrata subsp. lyrata is the source of this 606-nucleotide long non-coding RNA. RefSeq lists it as uncharacterized. The record is from RefSeq and is a predicted model, not a curated record. The transcript is spliced from 2 exons. Lineage: Eukaryota; Viridiplantae; Streptophyta; Magnoliopsida; Brassicales; Brassicaceae.